AUACGGAGGGUGCAAGCGUUAAUCGGAAUUACUGGGCGUAAAGCGCACGUAGGUUGUCCUGUAAGUCAGGGGUGAAAGCCCGCGGCUCAACUGCGGAACUGCCCUUGAUACUGCAGGACUCGGAUCCGGGAGAGGUCAGCGGAAUUCCAGGUGUAGGAGUGAAAUCCGUAGAUAUCUGGAGGAACAUCAGUGGCGAAGGCGGCUGACUGGACCGGCAUUGACGCUGAGGUGCGAAAGCGUGGGUAGCAAACAGGAUUAGAUACCCUGGUAGUCCACGCUGUAAACGAUGGAUGCUAGGUGUCGGGGCGCAAGCUCCGGUGCCGCAGCUAACGCAUUAAGCAUCCCGCCUGGGGAGUACGGUCGCAAGGCUGAAACUCAAAUGAAUUGACGGGG
Molecule: ribosomal RNA, 393 nt
Filed under: uncultured bacterium
Lineage: Bacteria
Description: partial 16S ribosomal RNA
Rfam family: Bacterial small subunit ribosomal RNA
Source: RNAcentral